Molecule: long non-coding RNA, 437 nt
Organism: Mesocricetus auratus (golden hamster)
Lineage: Eukaryota; Metazoa; Chordata; Mammalia; Rodentia; Cricetidae
Exons: 3
Source: RefSeq, a predicted model, not a curated record
UCAGUCCCGCUGGGUCCGGGGAAGCUGGGUUGAAGGACUCAAGUUAAAUAGUUGCUUUCUUCCCAUGGGUCCCCCACCCCUUGCAAAGUGGUCACUGAUUAACCCUUCGGACCAGAUAGCCCUUCACAGGGGAAGAAAAUAAGUGCUUAUCCUGGAUCAUAAAAUAUCAAUAUUGACUUCUCAGGUGUCACAGAACAGCCCGUGGUGCAUAAGGAUAGCUGAAGGCGAUCAUGUCCAGGAGUGUGUGUGCUCCUGUAAAAGGUGGCCCUCUCUACCUCUGCUCUUGGUCUUGCCGUUCUCCCCCUUUCUGCUCUAGACGGACACCUGGGGAUCCUUGUUCCUCUCCAGAGCUCACCGUUACAGACCGUCUUCCCCAGUGCCACAGGAUCUCACGAGGCUGAGUCUCUCACGCCUUAUUAAAUUCCUGCACAACCUCA